This 542-nucleotide ribosomal RNA is filed under the name uncultured bacterium. RNAcentral's name for it is "bacterial SSU rRNA". It matches the Rfam family "Bacterial small subunit ribosomal RNA", at positions 335 to 872 of the family's 1533-position model. The record is from RNAcentral.
CACCUACGGGUGGCAGCAGUGGGGAAUUUUGGACAAUGGGCGCAAGCCUGAUCCAGCAAUGCCGCGUGCAGGAUGAAGGCCUUCGGGUUGUAAACUGCUUUUGUACGGAACGAAAAGGCUCUGGUUAAUACCUGGGGCUCAUGACGGUACCGUAAGAAUAAGCACCGGCUAACUACGUGCCAGCAGCCGCGGUAAUACGUAGGGUGCGAGCGUUAAUCGGAAUUACUGGGCGUAAAGCGUGCGCAGGCGGUAAUGCAAGACAGAUGUGAAAUCCCCGGGCUUAACCUGGGAACUGCAUUUGUGACUGCAUUGCUGGAGUGCGGCAGAGGGGGAUGGAAUUCCGCGUGUAGCAGUGAAAUGCGUAGAUAUGCGGAGGAACACCGAUGGCGAAGGCAAUCCCCUGGGCCUGCACUGACGCUCAUGCACGAAAGCGUGGGGAGCAAACAGGAUUAGAUACCCUGGUAGUCCACGCCCUAAACGAUGUCAACUGGUUGUUGGGUCUUAACUGACUCAGUAACGAAGCUAACGCGUGAAGUGACCGC